Molecule: ribosomal RNA, 496 nt
Filed under: uncultured bacterium
Lineage: Bacteria
Description: bacterial SSU rRNA
Rfam family: Bacterial small subunit ribosomal RNA
Source: RNAcentral
CAGCAGUGGGGAAUAUUGGACAAUGGGCGCAAGCCUGAUCCAGCCAUACCGCGUGGGUGAAGAAGGCCUUCGGGUUGUAAAGCCCUUUUGUUGGGAAAGAAAUCCAGCUGGCUAAUACCCGGUUGGGAUGACGGUACCCAAAGAAUAAGCACCGGGUAAAUUCGUGCCAGCAGCCGCGGUAAUACGAAGGGUGCAAGCGUUACUUGGAAUUACUGGGCGUAAAGCGUGCGUAGGUGGUCGUUUAAGUCCGUUGUGAAAGCCCUGGGCUCAACCUGGGAAAUGCAGUGGAUACUGGGCGACUAGAGUGUGGUAGAGGGUAGCGGAAUUCCUGGUGUAGCAGUGAAAUGCGUAGAGAUCAGGAGGAACAUCCAUGGCGAAGGCAGCUACCUGGACCAACACUGACACUGAGGCACGAAAGCGUGGGGAGCAAACAGGAUUAGAUACCCUGGUAGUCCACGCCCUAAACGAUGCGAACUGGAUGUUGGGUGCAAUUUGG